This is a non-coding RNA of Acanthosepion pharaonis, 112 nucleotides long. Lineage: Eukaryota; Metazoa; Mollusca; Cephalopoda; Sepiida; Sepiidae. The record is from the annotation of a GenBank genome assembly.
AUGGUCAUAUCAUGUUGAAAUACCAGUUCCUGUAUGAUCAGCAAAGUUAAUCAAUGUUGCGCCUGGUCAGUACCUAGAUUGGUGACCACUUGAGAAUGCCAGGUGCUGUAUG